AGUGGUCAGCUCCUCUCAAAUGAAUCAGCUUGCCAGUGUUUGGUGGGAUCGCAGGUGUGAUAACUAUCUACGCUUGUGGUUUUCCGUCAGGUAACCUUCAGUGAUGGAGGUUCGCUGGAGCUCAUAAACGUCUCUCCUAAGCGAGGACAACUUUUUGAACGUUUGAUCUCAAAUCAGGUAGGACUACCCGCUGAACUUAA
This 200-nucleotide unclassified non-coding RNA is filed under the name soil metagenome. RNAcentral's name for it is "partial contains internal transcribed spacer 2 and large subunit ribosomal RNA". The record is from RNAcentral.